AGAUUCAAUUUUAUGUUUUGUUUAUGUAGUGUUCCUUGAGCAUCUCAUACAAGAUUCGCGUAUUUUUUAUGCGAAAACAGUAAGUGUCAUUAGUAUAAUGCAUGAAUAAGUAGAACAUCUAAAUGCCGAUUAUAAUACGGUAGACAGUAAAUUCAAUAGCACAUGUAAAUGAUAUAGAAAAACAGUGAGAACUUGAUACAAAUUCAAAUGUUUGUUGCCAUUCACAAAGUUACUGCCAAGUGAAAUGGCAAAUUAUGAAAGGAUAUUUACAAUAUUCACGGUGGACAGCAGGAACACUACUGACAAGAUGCUGAACAAUCUGUCAACGUUUAUUAAUCAAGUAGGAAUUGACCGUGGUGUGUGAUGGUACUCUAUGAAGAAAAAAUAUAUAAACCAAAGAGAACUUUUGAGUUUCAAAACGUUGUUCCAAGUGAUUUUGUUUUACCACCGAGUUAUACGUUAAAUAGGCCCGCAACAUCGUUGAGUGAAGACAAAAAGAAACCUCUGAAAAAAACUGAGCAGAUGAUAUAUAAGACUUUAUUUUAAGAUACAUUUUAAAAAUAAUUAAUUGAUUCGACGCACAAAUAAAUCUUCAGGAAACACCUGCAUAACAGAGGUCUGGCACAGGGAGCACCAUGGACAGCGCAGAUGAGCUGACGCCCGUGCUGGACGCCGCGCGCUCGAAGAAGAUGACCAAGAAGUACCUGGGCGUGGAGGCGGCGGCCGAGGAGUGGUGCGAGAGCCAGGAGGAGCUCGGGCUGGUCACCGCGACGACGCCCGUCAGGUUCUGGAUCCUGCUGGUGUUUUCGCUCAUGUCGUGGCUGCACGUGAGUGUUGGUUUCCUUUUUUCUCUCUUUCUUUUUUACUUUUUUUUUUUUGUUUGUCUUGGGGUUCUGUUCGCUGUCGGGGAGAAUGAUGUUGUGAGGGACGAGAUUAAUCAGUUGUUUACUGAUAACCGAAAGGUUUGUUGCAAUUCUGGUUAUCGUAGACGCAAUGAGUAAUUCAUUGACCUUGGCCUGAUUAGCGUUGCCAUCGCAGCCAUUGCAACGCUUUGAAGAAACUGUUACUUGUUUUGGAAGUAAUAAAGGCAGCUUAGGACGUCAAAGUCAGAUUUGGCGGAAU
This is an RNA transcript of Penaeus monodon (black tiger shrimp), 1122 nucleotides long. RefSeq lists it as uncharacterized. Lineage: Eukaryota; Metazoa; Arthropoda; Malacostraca; Decapoda; Penaeidae. The transcript is spliced from 3 exons. The record is from RefSeq and is a predicted model, not a curated record.